Molecule: ribosomal RNA, 483 nt
Filed under: uncultured bacterium
Lineage: Bacteria
Description: partial 16S ribosomal RNA
Rfam family: Bacterial small subunit ribosomal RNA
Source: RNAcentral
AUUGAACGCUGGCGGCAGGCCUAACACAUGCAAGUCGAGCGGAUGAAGGGAGCUUGCUCCUGGAUUCAGCGGCGGACGGGUGAGUAAUGCCUAGGAAUCUGCCUGGUAGUGGGGGAUAACGUCCGGAAACGGGCGCUAAUACCGCAUACGUCCUGAGGGAGAAAGUGGGGGUCUUUGGGCCCUACGCUAUCAGAUGAGCCUAGGUCGGAUUAGCUAGUUGGGGGGGUAAAGGCCUACCAAGGCGACGAUCCGUAACUGGUCUGAGAGGAUGAUCAGUCACACUGGAACUGAGACACGGUCCAGACUCCUACGGGAGGCAGCAGUGGGGAAUAUUGGACAAUGGGCGAAAGCCUGAUCCAGCCAUGCCGCGUGUGUGAAGAAGGUCUUCGGAUUGUAAAGCACUUUAAGUUGGGAGGAAGGGCAGUAAGUUAAUACCUUGCUGUUUUGACGUUACCAACAGAAUAAGCACCGGCUAACUUCGUG